This 27-nucleotide non-coding RNA is filed under the name Rattus norvegicus (Norway rat). The record is from RNAcentral. Lineage: Eukaryota; Metazoa; Chordata; Mammalia; Rodentia; Muridae.
GGUGGAAAUUAGGUUGUAACAUAUGAA